GACGAACGCUGGCGGCGUGCCUAACACAUGCAAGUCGAGCGAAUGAAGUUCUUUCGGGAAUGGAUUUAGCGGCGGACGGGUGAGUAACACGUGGGCAACCUGCCUCAUAGAGGGGAAUAGCCUUCCGAAAGGGAGAUUAAUACCGCAUAAGAUUGUAGUACCGCAUGGUACAGCAAUUAAAGGAGCAAUCCGCGAUGAGAUGGGCCCGCGGCGCAUUAGCUAGUUGGUGAGGUAACGGCUCACCAAGGCGACGAUGCGUAGCCGACCUGAGAGGGUGAUCGGCCACAUUGGGACUGAGACACGGCCCAGACUCCUACGGGAGGCAGCAGUGGGGAAUAUUGCACAAUGGGGGAAACCCUGAUGCAGCAACGCCGCGUGAGUGAUGACGGCCUUCGGGUUGUAAAGCUCUGUCUUCAGGGACGAUAAUGACGGUACCUGAGGAGGAAGCCACGGCUAACUACGUGCCAGCCGCCGCCGUAA
This 480-nucleotide ribosomal RNA is filed under the name uncultured bacterium. RNAcentral describes it as "partial 16S ribosomal RNA". It matches the Rfam family "Bacterial small subunit ribosomal RNA", at positions 28 to 523 of the family's 1533-position model. The record is from RNAcentral.